Long non-coding RNA from Lemur catta (Ring-tailed lemur), 1110 nucleotides. RefSeq lists it as uncharacterized. The record is from RefSeq and is a predicted model, not a curated record. The transcript has 4 exons. NCBI's taxonomy places the organism in Eukaryota, Metazoa, Chordata, Mammalia, Primates, Lemuridae.
CCAGCUUGUAGAUUUUCUGUACUUGGCAUUAAAAUUUCCUGGUCUGACUUGCGGCCGAAAUCCUGGGAUGGGGACAGAAGAAACAUACAUUCUGUGCCAGCUGUAUACAUCCUGAACCUUCCAGAAGGAGCCCUGGUGAAGGGUCAGGAACUGCCUGCUCUGUGCCCGGCCCUGGGCUCGGCACUACAAGAGACACUCAGGAACUAGGAGACUGGUCCCUGCCUUCAGGGCUCCCAGACUGCGCAUCAGAUCCGCGCGGUAUCAUCAAGCAGGGCUCGUACGGCAACCUCAGAAAUAUCGGGACUUUCAGAAGGAAGAGAUGAGUGAGGACUGAAGUUGUCAAGGAAGUCGUCGCUGAGGAGAAGCUCCUCCGCUGAGGGAGAGGGUGAAAGCGAGUGAUCAUGGCUGAAAGGGAGGACGAGCUGUGUGAGCCGCACUGGGCGCCCCAGACCCUCAGUCACCACGAAGCCUGAGCCAGAGCAUCUUGUCCUCCAGAAGGCCCCUCAUCCCCCGCCCCCAAGACCAGGGCAACUCUCCUGUUUUGUGCUCUAGCACCCAGCCAGCUCCCCGUCUAUCACUGUGCCGACAACAGAAUUCUGCUCAGGAGAGGACCACAGUCUUGCAACGUAGAAAGCCACCGCACCUCCAGACACCCAGGACUAAGUGCCAGUAGGAGCUGGGCGACUAGUAAAGACAGCAGUGACCGUCCUCUGUGUUGAAUGGCCGUCCAUCACCUGAGAGCUUAAGACAUCUUUCUGCGGUACCCAUUCUGCUCUCAGCACUGAGGGGGACACGGAGAUGAGUGAAGCCCAGGCCCCCGUCUUCUACAAGCUCCCAGCACAGCUGGGAGGUGAGACUCACAGUGCUCUGAUGAGCAAUUCAGCACAGGGACAUUUACAGACUGCAUCCUGUGGUGUGACUGAGUGUCCUGGGAGGUCAGGGGAGAGAGGGAUGACUCAUCACCAAAGGCUGAUGGCAUUCUAGGUGACAGAAAGAGGUACAACACAAUUCUAAUAGUGCGUGCAGAGAAACAACCAAUGCACAGAGCAGAGGGAAGGAAGGGAAGGAAGCAGGGAGGGAGGGAAAGGAAAGAAAAGAGAAAAGAAAAGA